CCCAGCAAUGGGCAACCGGCGAACGGGUGCGUAACACGUGAGCAACCUACCGAACUGUGGGGGAUAGCCGGCCUAACGGCCGAGUAAUACCGCAUACGCUUUCUAAAAGGCAUUUUUUGGAAAGGAAACCUACGGGACAGAUCGAGGGGCUCGCGGCCUAUCAGCUAGUUGGCGAGGUAAUGGCUCACCAAGGCUACGACGGGUAGCUGGUCUGAGAGGAUGGCCAGCCACAUUGGGACUGAGAUACGGCCCAGACUCCUACGGGAGGCAGCAGUGGGGAAUCUUGCGCAAUGGCCUAACGGCUGACGCAGCGACGCCGCGUGUGGGAUGAAGCUCCUCGGAGUGUAAACCACUGUUGCCCGGGACGAACAGCUCGAUUCAUCGAGCCUGACGGUACCGGGUGAGGAAGCACCGGCUAACUCCGUGCCAGCAGCCGCGGUAAUACGGGGGGUGCGAGCGUUGUCCGGAAUCACUGGGCGUAAAGGGCGCGUAGGUGGUUUGAUAAGGGUGUGGUGAAAGCCCGGGGCUCAACCCCGGGUCUGCCGUGCCGACUGUCAAACUCGAGGGCUGUAGAGGCAGACGGAAUUCCGGGUGUAGCGGUGGAAUGCGUAGAGAUCCGGAGGAAGACCGGUGGCGAAGGCGGUCUGCUGGGCAGUUUCUGACACUGAUGCGCGACAGCGUGGGGAGCAAACAGGAUUAGAUACCCUGGUAGUCCACGCCGUAAACGAUGGGUACUAGGUGCCUGGGGGAGCGACCCUCUGGGUGCCGGCGCUAACGCAGGAAGUACCCCGCCUGGGGAGUACGACCGCAGGUU
RNAcentral lists this ribosomal RNA (814 nucleotides) under uncultured Gemmatimonadota bacterium. Its description in RNAcentral is "bacterial SSU rRNA". It matches the Rfam family "Bacterial small subunit ribosomal RNA", at positions 72 to 895 of the family's 1533-position model. The record is from RNAcentral. Lineage: Bacteria; Pseudomonadati; Gemmatimonadota.